Molecule: ribosomal RNA, 468 nt
Filed under: uncultured bacterium
Lineage: Bacteria
Description: partial 16S ribosomal RNA
Rfam family: Bacterial small subunit ribosomal RNA
Source: RNAcentral
GACGAACGCUGGCGGCGUGCUUAACACAUGCAAGUCGAACGGAAAGGCCCUGCUUUUGUGGGGUGCUCGAGUGGCGAACGGGUGAGUAACACGUGAGUAACCUGCCCUUGACUUUGGGAUAACUUCAGGAAACUGGGGCUAAUACCGGAUAGGAGCUCCUGCUGCAUGGUGGGGGUUGGAAAGUUUCGGCGGUUGGGGAUGGACUCGCGGCUUAUCAGCUUGUUGGUGGGGUAGUGGCUUACCAAGGCUUUGACGGGUAGCCGGCCUGAGAGGGUGACCGGCCACAUUGGGACUGAGAUACGGCCCAGACUCCUACGGGAGGCAGCAGUGGGGAAUAUUGCACAAUGGGCGGAAGCCUGAUGCAGAAACGCCGCGUGCGGGAUGACGGCCUUCGGGUUGUAAACCGCUUUCGCCUGUGACGAAGCGUGAGUGACGGUAAUGGGUAAAGAAGCAACGGCUAACUACGUG